UACGUAGGGGGCAAGCGUUAUCCGGAUUUACUGGGUGUAAAGGGAGCAUAGACGGCAUGGCAAGUCAGAUGUGAAAGCCCGGGGCUCAACCCCGGGACUGCAUUUGAAACUGUCAGGCUGGAGUGCAGGAGAGGUAAGCGGAAUUCCUAGUGUAGCGGUGAAAUGCGUAGAUAUUAGGAGGAACACCAGUGGCGAAGGCGGCUUACUGGACUGUAACUGACGUUGAGGCUCGAAAGCGUGGGGAGCAAACAGG
Molecule: ribosomal RNA, 253 nt
Filed under: uncultured bacterium
Lineage: Bacteria
Description: partial 16S ribosomal RNA
Rfam family: Bacterial small subunit ribosomal RNA
Source: RNAcentral